AUGCUGGAGGUAUCAGAAGUGCGAAUGCUGACAUAAGUAACGAUAAAGCGGGUGAAAAGCCCGCUCGCCGGAAGACCAAGGGUUCCUGUCCAACGUUAAUCGGGGCAGGGUGAGUCGACCCCUAAGGCGAGGCCGAAAGGCGUAGUCGAUGGGAAACAGGUUAAUAUUCCUGUACUUGGUGUUACUGCGAAGGGGGGACGGAGAAGGCUAUGUUGGCCGGGCGACGGUUGUCCCGGUUUAAGCGUGUAGGCUGGUUUUCCAGGCAAAUCCGGAAAAUCAAGGCUGAGGCGUGAUGACGAGGCACUACGGUGCUGAAGCAACAAAUGCCCUGCUUCCAGGAAAAGCCUCUAAGCAUCAGGUAACAUCAAAUCGUACCCCAAACCGACACAGGUGGUCAGGUAGAGAAUACCAAGGCGCUUGAGAGAACUCGGGUGAAGGAACUAGGCAAAAUGGUGCCGUAACUUCGGGAGAAGGCACGCUGAUAUGUAGGUGAAGUCCCUCGCGGAUGGAGCUGAAAUCAGUCGAAGAUACCAGCUGGCUGCAACUGUUUAUUAAAAACACAGCACUGUGCAAACACGAAAGUGGACGUAUACGGUGUGACGCCUGCCCGGUGCCGGAAGGUUAAUUGAUGGGGUCAGCGCAAGCGAAGCUCUUGAUCGAAGCCCCGGUAAACGGCGGCCGUAACUAUAACGGUCCUAAGGUAGCGAAAUUCCUUGUCGGGUAAGUUCCGACCUGCACGAAUGGCGUAAUGAUGGCCAGGCUGUCUCCACCCGAGACUCAGUGAAAUUGAACUCGCUGUGAAGAUGCAGUGUACCCGCGGCAAGACGGAAAGACCCCGUGAACCUUUACUAUAGCUUGACACUGAACAUUGAGCCUUGAUGUGUAGGAUAGGUGGGAGGCUUAGAAGUGUGGACGCCAGUCUGCAUGGAGCCGACCUUGAAAUACCACCCUUUAAUGUUUGAUGUUCUAACGUGGACCCGUGAUCCGGGUUGCGGACAGUGUCUGGUGGGUAGUUUGACUGGGGCGGUCUCCUCCUAAAGAGUAACGGAGGAGCACGAAGGUUGGCUAAUCCUGGUCGGACAUCAGGAGGUUAGUGCAAUGGCAUAAGCCAGCUUGACUGCGAGCGUGACGGCGCGAGCAGGUGCGAAAGCAGGUCAUAGUGAUCCGGUGGUUCUGAAUGGAAGGGCCAUCGCUCAACGGAUAAAAGGUACUCCGGGGAUAACAGGCUGAUACCGCCCAAGAGUUCAUAUCGACGGCGGUGUUUGGCACCUCGAUGUCGGCUCAUCACAUCCUGGGGCUGAAGUAGGUCCCAAGGGUAUGGCUGUUCGCCAUUUAAAGUGGUACGCGAGCUGGGUUUAGAACGUCGUGAGACAGUUCGGUCCCUAUCUGCCGUGGGCGCUGGAGAACUGAGGGGGGCUGCUCCUAGUACGAGAGGACCGGAGUGGACGCAUCACUGGUGUUCGGGUUGUCAUGCCAAUGGCACUGCCCGGUAGCUAAAUGCGGAAGAGAUAAGUGCUGAAAGCAUCUAAGCACGAAACUUGCCCCGAGAUGAGUUCU
This 1557-nucleotide ribosomal RNA is filed under the name Escherichia coli. RNAcentral's name for it is "bacterial LSU rRNA". It matches the Rfam family "Bacterial large subunit ribosomal RNA", at positions 1270 to 2812 of the family's 2925-position model. Lineage: Bacteria; Pseudomonadati; Pseudomonadota; Gammaproteobacteria; Enterobacterales; Enterobacteriaceae. The record is from RNAcentral.